AUACGGAGGGUGCAAGCGUUACUCGGAAUCACUGGGCGUAAAGCGCGCGCAGGCGGCCAUUUAAGUUGGAUGUGAAAGCCUACGGCUCAACCGUAGAACUGCAUCCAAAACUAUUUGGCUAGAGUGUGGGAGAGGAAGAUGGAAUUAGUUGUGCAGGGGUAAAAUCCGUAGAGAUAACUAGGAAUACCAAAAGCGAAGGCAAUCUUCUGGAACAUUACUGACGCUGAGGCGCGAAAGCGUGGGGAGCAAACAGGAUUAGAAACCCCAGUAGUCC
This 274-nucleotide ribosomal RNA is filed under the name uncultured bacterium. RNAcentral's name for it is "partial 16S ribosomal RNA". It matches the Rfam family "Bacterial small subunit ribosomal RNA", at positions 523 to 796 of the family's 1533-position model. The record is from RNAcentral.